This 1204-nucleotide long non-coding RNA is filed under the name Apteryx rowi (Okarito brown kiwi). RNAcentral's name for it is "lncRNA (ENSARWG00000006267.1)". The record is from RNAcentral. Lineage: Eukaryota; Metazoa; Chordata; Aves; Apterygiformes; Apterygidae.
AACUGUCAUAAUCAUGAUCAUCUUCUUCUUCUUCUUCUUCUUUAUUACAGGCCGCCUGAUCAGGAAGAGGAAGUCGUUGAGGCCUUCUACAGACAGCUGGAAGUAGCCUCACGAUCCCAGGCCCUGGUUCUCAUGGGGGACUUCAACCACCCCGAUAUCUGCUGGAAAGACAACACAGCUAGGCACAAACAGUCCUGGAGGUUCCUGCAGAGCAUUGGUGACAACUUCUUGACACAGGUGGUGGAGGAGCCAACAAGGAGAGGUGUGCUGCUGGACCUCAUACUAACAAACAAAGAAGGACUGGUGGAAGAUGUGAAGGUCGGGGGCAGCCUUGGCUGCAGUGACCAUGAGAUGGUGGAGUUCAGGAUCCUGCGAGGAGGAGGCAGGGCACCGAGUAGGAUCGCAACCCUGGACUUCAGGAGAGCAAACUUUGGCCUCUUCAGGGACCUACUUGGAGGAAUCCCAUGGGUKAGGGCCCUAGAAGGAAGGGGUGUUCAAGAGAGCUGGUUAAUAUUCAAACAUCACCUCCUCCAGGCUCAAGAGCGGUGCAUCCCUAUGAGUAGGAAGUCAAGCAAAGGAGGUAGGAGACCUGCAUGGAUGAGCAAGGAGCUCCUGGCAAAACUCAGCCAGAAGAAGGAAGUCUACAGAAAGUGGAAAGGGGGACAGGCCACUUGGGAGGAAUAUAGGAAUGUUGUCAGAGUAUGCAGGGAUGCGACGAGGAAGGCUAAGGCCCGUUUGGAAUUAAAUCUGGCGAGAGAUGUCAAGGACAACAAGAAGGGCUUCUUCAAAUACAUCAGUAGCAAGAGGAAGACUAGGGAAAAUGUGGGCCCUUUGCUGAAUGGGGUGGGUGCCCUGGUGACGAAGGAUGCAGAGAAGGCAGAGUUACUGAAUGCCGCCUUUGCUUCAGUCUUUCCUGCUCAGGCCAGCCCUCAGGAACCCCAGAUUCUGGAGGCAAGAGAGAAAGUCUGGAGGAAGGAAGACUUUCCCUUGGUGGAGGAAGAUCGGGUUAGAGAUCACUUAAGCAAACUUGACACCCACAAAUCCAUGGGCCCGAUGGGAUGCACCCACGAGUGCUGAGGGAGCUGGCGGAUGUCAUUGCUAAGCCACUCUCCAUCAUCUUUGAAAGGUCAUGGAGAAGAGGAGAGGUGCCUGAGGACUGGAAGAAAGCCAAUGYCACCCCAGUCUUCAAACAGGGCAAGAAGGA